Physcomitrium patens is the source of this 1032-nucleotide non-coding RNA. The record is from RefSeq and is a predicted model, not a curated record. NCBI's taxonomy places the organism in Eukaryota, Viridiplantae, Streptophyta, Bryopsida, Funariales, Funariaceae.
UGCGAGACCUGAAUGAGGCUGGUGUUUCUGAACGGGAGGUUUCGUGCAAGGAAGGGAAGGGCUCUCUUUGUUGUCAGGCUCCUCCGCUCUUCGACGCCGUUCUCCUCCUCCACGCUCGUCCUCGGAGCCCAACUCCAUCGCUGCUGCUUCCUGCCUCUACAGCCCCGCCCCUGCUGCUGCUGUCUUCGAGAAUACCAAGUUGCAGACCCUGCCUGCUUAUACAACUCCGCAAUCAUGAGUGCAAGGCCGAUGGAGGAGGACACUGAAAAGACGGAGGAGGAGGAGUUCUCCACUGGUCCGCUGUCCGUCCUUACGAUGUCUGUGAAAAACAACACUCAGGUCCUUAUUAAUUGCCGAAAUAACAAGAAGUUACUAGGGCGAGUGAAAGCGUUUGACCGUCACUGCAAUAUGGUUCUGGAAAACGUGAAGGAGAUGUGGACAGAGGUACCCAAGGCUGGUAAAGGCAAGAAAAAAGCUAAGCCUGUGAACAAAGAUCGUUUCAUCAGUAAGAUGUUUCUGCGAGGGGAUUCCGUUAUCAUUGUCUUGAGAAACCCCAAAUGAUCUAUUCAAGCCUGAACCAAAUGGGAGGAUGUGUAGUGUCAUGUAUAGUCGAAGAGAGCUGUGACCUACUGAACAAAUGGGCUUCUAUUUUGAAACUGAAUUACUUUCCAGAGUUCGGGUGAUCUGAUUUGGGUGUAGCCUGUUGGGAUACGGAGGCGUACUAUCAGGCUCGCUAGCAUGUGUUCACGGUGAUACAUCUUUUAUCCUUGUUGGUUAUGACAUGUUUGCUGGCAUAGCCAUCGAAGUAGUAAGAACACAUUGCUUGGUGAGUUAAGUUUCAAUGCGUCUACAGUGUUGGAUGUUUUGUAUUGCAUUCUUGCUUCGAAACUGCCGGUGGAAGGCCAGCAGUGGCCUACAUCAAGUGCAAGAAAGAGUAGAGAUAACUUGUUCGGCAGUUUAUUAACUUGAAACUUAGGAUCACAUUCUUGUUCUGUUUUCGCAAGUUUGACAAAGAAUCAUUGGUUUUCACAA